Molecule: ribosomal RNA, 505 nt
Filed under: uncultured bacterium
Lineage: Bacteria
Description: partial 16S ribosomal RNA
Rfam family: Bacterial small subunit ribosomal RNA
Source: RNAcentral
GACGAACGCUGGCGGCGUGCCUAAUACAUGCAAGUAGAACGCACAGUUUAAACCGUAGCUUGCUACACCAUAAACUGUGAGUUGCGAACGGGUGAGUAACGCGUAGGUAACCUGCCUGGUAGCGGGGGAUAACUAUUGGAAACGAUAGCUAAUACCGCAUAAUAUUGAUUAUUGCAUGAUAAUUGAUUGAAAGAUGCUAUUGCAUCACUACCAGAUGGACCUGCGUUGUAUUAGCUAGUAGGUGAGGUAACGGCUCACCUAGGCGACGAUACAUAGCCGACCUGAGAGGGUGAUCGGCCACACUGGGACUGAGACACGGCCCAGACUCCUACGGGAGGCAGCAGUAGGGAAUCUUCGGCAAUGGACGAAAGUCUGACCGAGCAACGCCGCGUGAGUGAAGAAGGUUUUCGGAUCGUAAAGCUUGGUUGUAAGAGAAGAACGGGUGUGAGAGUGGAAAGUUCACACUGUGACGGUAUCUUACCAGAAAGGGACGGCUAACUACGUG